This 487-nucleotide ribosomal RNA is filed under the name uncultured bacterium. Its description in RNAcentral is "bacterial SSU rRNA". It matches the Rfam family "Bacterial small subunit ribosomal RNA", at positions 30 to 505 of the family's 1533-position model. The record is from RNAcentral.
AUUGAACGCUGGCGGCAUGCCUUACACAUGCAAGUCGAACGGCAGCACGGGAGCAAUCCUGGUGGCGAGUGGCGGACGGGUGAGUAAUAUAUCGGAACGUGCCCAGUCGUGGGGAUAACGCAGCGAAAGCUGUGCUAAUACCGCAUACGAUCUCUGGAUGAAAGCGGGGGACUCAGCAAUGGGCCUCGCGCGAUUGGAGCGGCCGAUAUCAGAUUAGCUAGUUGGUGGGGUAAAAGCCCACCAAGGCGACGAUCUGUAGCUGGUCUGAGAGGACGACCAGCCACACUGGAACUGAGACACGGUCCAGACUCCUACGGGAGGCAGCAGUGGGGAAUAUUGGACAAUGGGCGAAAGCCUGAUCCAGCCAUGCCGCGUGUGUGAAGAAGGUCUUCGGAUUGUAAAGCACUUUAAGUUGGGAGGAAGGGUAGGUAACCUAAUACGUUGCUACUUUGACGUUACCGACAGAAUAAGACACCGGCUAACUUCG